GGAAGUAAAAGUCGUACAAGGUUUCCGUAGGUGAACCUGCGGAAGGAUCAUUCAUAAUAAAGUGUUUUAUGGCACUUUUUAAAAAUCCAUAUCCACCUUGUGUGCAAUGUUAGAUCUCGUCAAUCUUGGCGAGAUUUUUAUACAUCAACUCAUUCUUUAACUAAUUUGUCUGAAAAAUAUUAUGAAUACUUAAUUCAAAAUACAACUUUCAACAACGGAUCUCUUGGCUCUC
RNAcentral lists this unclassified non-coding RNA (232 nucleotides) under plant metagenome. Its description in RNAcentral is "partial contains small subunit ribosomal RNA, internal transcribed spacer 1, and 5.8S ribosomal RNA". The stretch from base 1 to 53 matches the Rfam family "Eukaryotic small subunit ribosomal RNA", at positions 1778 to 1831 of the family's 1831-position model. The record is from RNAcentral.